AUUUAUCCGAGGCGAUCGUUGAUUCCACAGGAUGAUCGGAAUCACGAAGAUCUGCGGUGGAAGAUCUAUCCUCGGCAACGUCGUUGCUGAUCGACUGGCUAUCGGAUGUCACUGAUGGAUCCUCGGCGAUCGCGAGAAACGAACAAAACGCGCACAAAUAAUUAGCGACAAGAAACGCCCUGUAAGUGAUCUUCAUCUUCACGCUGGAGGCUGUAAAUCUAGGAACGAUCGCUUGAUCACGAGCACUACACAAACUGUAUGAUGUCGAUGACGACAACUGCGCGGCUAUCUUUUCAUAAAUGUAUACACUCUGGUUCGUGCGCUCGGACAUCUGUGAUGUGUAUUCCACGUGUGUAGGCGACCAUUCCCAUUCUGAUUAUAUUCAUAUGUAUACGGGGUAUUCCUUGUCAGUCGCAGCCACUUUGUUCUGUUGAUCUCGGAAAUUUUUUUUUUUUUCACUUCCUCAGUUUUGUAGUACUACUCGAAAAACAUUCCUGUGAAUUACACCAUAUCUUUAAAAUCAACUAUUUCAAAGAUAUAAGGUAUUUCUAGUAUGUUUUCUGCUGUCGACCAAAUAAAACGCAUGCAUUUAAUCAAGACUGGCUUACAUUAAG
This 614-nucleotide unclassified non-coding RNA is filed under the name Athalia rosae (coleseed sawfly). Its description in RNAcentral is "misc RNA ENSAEAG00005011741.1". Lineage: Eukaryota; Metazoa; Arthropoda; Insecta; Hymenoptera; Athaliidae. The record is from RNAcentral.